UCAAAGGCUCUUUUAAGAGCCACCCACAAAUUCAAAUUCAAGGGC
This is a regulatory RNA element of Astyanax mexicanus (Mexican tetra), 45 nucleotides long. It matches the Rfam family "Histone 3' UTR stem-loop". From Rfam's summary of the family: The mRNAs of metazoan histone genes lack a poly-A tail. NCBI's taxonomy places the organism in Eukaryota, Metazoa, Chordata, Actinopteri, Characiformes, Acestrorhamphidae. The record is from Rfam.